CGUGCUGUUGCUGCUGCUGCUGCUGCUGUUGCUGCUGCUGCAGAUACUCGCCGUGGCCGCCGCCGCCUCCGCCGCCGUCCACGUCCAAGAUAUGCCUGCUGCUCGUGGAAGGAAGAAGUGAGCACGGAAUCCCUUUGGAAUCCCAGAUGGUUAUGAGUUGCCACAGGGAUCAUGGAGAUUUGACUAAGUCAGAAGACCACUCACAGGUUGAUCCUUUUGUUCCACAGUGUGAGUCGCAGAUAUCAAACUCAGGUGGCCAGGCCUGGCAGCAAGCUCUUUUGGCCAUUCAGCCAUCUCACUGGCCCUGUGGAAACCUUUUGAAGAAGAUGGACGCACAUGAGCACAAGCUCAGAAAUGAUUAGUUUGA
RNAcentral lists this long non-coding RNA (367 nucleotides) under Mus pahari (shrew mouse). RNAcentral describes it as "lncRNA (MGP_PahariEiJ_G0003301.1)". The record is from RNAcentral. Lineage: Eukaryota; Metazoa; Chordata; Mammalia; Rodentia; Muridae.